GACGAACGCUGGCGGCGUGCUUAACACAUGCAAGUCGAACGGAAAGGCCCUGCUAUUGUGGGGUGCUCGAGUGGCGAACGGGUGAGUAACACGUGAGUAACCUGCCCUUGACUUUGGGAUAACUUCAGGAAACGGGGGCUAAUACCGGAUAGGAGCUCCUGCUGCAUGGGGGGGGUUGGAAAGUUUCGGCGGUUGGGGAUGGACUCGCGGCUUAUCAGCUUGUUGGUGGGGUAGUGGCUUACCAAGGCUUUGACGGGUAGCCGGCCUGAGAGGGUGACCGGCCCCAUUGGGACUGCGAUACGGCCCAGACUCCUACUUGAGGCAGCAGUGGCGAAUAUUGCACAAUGGGCGGAAGCCUGAUGCAGCAACGCCGCGUGCGGGAUGACGGCCUUCGGGUUGUAAACCGCUUUCGCCUGUGACGAAGCGUGAGUGACGGUAAUGGGUAAAGAAGCACCGGCUAACUACGUG
Molecule: ribosomal RNA, 468 nt
Filed under: uncultured bacterium
Lineage: Bacteria
Description: partial 16S ribosomal RNA
Rfam family: Bacterial small subunit ribosomal RNA
Source: RNAcentral